This 96-nucleotide ribosomal RNA is filed under the name uncultured bacterium. Its description in RNAcentral is "partial 16S ribosomal RNA". The record is from RNAcentral.
AUUGUAAACUCCUGUCGGCCGGGAAGAAGUUCAUCGGGGGCUCAUACCCUCGGUGAUUGACUGUACCGGCAAAGGAAGCCCCGGCUAACUCUGUGC